UAAGGAAUCUUCCACAAUGGACGAAAGUCUGAUGGAGCAACGCCGCGUGAGUGAAGAAGGGUUUCGGCUCGUAAAACUCUGUUGUUAAAGAAGAACAUAUCUGAGAGUAACUGUUCAGGUAUUGACGGUAUUUAACCAGAAAGCCACGGCUAACUACGUGCCAC
Molecule: ribosomal RNA, 164 nt
Filed under: uncultured bacterium
Lineage: Bacteria
Description: partial 16S rRNA
Rfam family: Bacterial small subunit ribosomal RNA
Source: RNAcentral